This 1555-nucleotide ribosomal RNA is filed under the name Priestia flexa. RNAcentral's name for it is "bacterial SSU rRNA". It matches the Rfam family "Bacterial small subunit ribosomal RNA". The record is from RNAcentral. Lineage: Bacteria; Bacillati; Bacillota; Bacilli; Caryophanales; Bacillaceae.
UCUUCGGAGAGUUUGAUCCUGGCUCAGGAUGAACGCUGGCGGCGUGCCUAAUACAUGCAAGUCGAGCGAACUGAUUAGAAGCUUGCUUCUAUGACGUUAGCGGCGGACGGGUGAGUAACACGUGGGCAACCUGCCUGUAAGACUGGGAUAACUCCGGGAAACCGGAGCUAAUACCGGAUAACAUUUUCUCUUGCAUAAGAGAAAAUUGAAAGAUGGUUUCGGCUAUCACUUACAGAUGGACUCCGCGGUGCAUUAGCUAGUUGGUGAGGUAACGGCUCACCAAGGCAACGAUGCAUAGCCGACCUGAGAGGGUGAUCGACCACACUGGGACUGAGACACGUACCCAGACUCCUACGGGAGGCAGCAGUAGGGAAUCUUCCGCAAUGGACGAAAGUCUGACGGAGCAACGCCGCGUGAGUGAUGAAGGCUUUCGGGUCGUAAAACUCUGUUGUUAGGGAAGAACAAGUACAAGAGUAACUGCUUGUACCUUGACGGUACCUAACCAGAAAGCCACGGCUAACUACGUGCCAGCAGCCGCGGUAAUACGUAGGUGGCAAGCGUUAUCCGGAAUUAUUGGGCGUAAAGCGCGCGCAGGCGGUUUCUUAAGUCUGAUGUGAAAGCCCACGGCUCAACCGUGGAGGGUCAUUGGAAACUGGGGAACUUGAGUGCAGAAGAGAAAAGCGGAAUUCCACGUGUAGCGGUGAAAUGCGUAGAGAUGUGGAGGAACACCAGUGGCGAAGGCGGCUUUUUGGUCUGUAACUGACGCUGAGGCGCGAAAGCGUGGGGAGCAAACAGGAUUAGAUACCCUGGUAGUCCACGCCGUAAACGAUGAGUGCUAAGUGUUAGAGGGUUUCCGCCCUUUAGUGCUGCAGCUAACGCAUUAAGCACUCCGCCUGGGGAGUACGGUCGCAAGACUGAAACUCAAAGGAAUUGACGGGGAUCCGCACAAGCGGUGGAGCAUGUGGUUUAAUUCGAAGCAACGCGAAGAACCUUACCAGGUCUUGACAUCCUCUGACAACUCUAGAGAUAGAGCGUUCCCCUUCGGGGGACAGAGUGACAGGUGGUGCAUGGUUGUCGUCAGCUCGUGUCGUGAGAUGUUGGGUUAAGUCCCGCAACGAGCGCAACCCUUGAUCUUAGUUGCCAGCAUUUAGUUGGGCACUCUAAGGUGACUGCCGGUGACAAACCGGAGGAAGGUGGGGAUGACGUCAAAUCAUCAUGCCCCUUAUGACCUGGGCUACACACGUGCUACAAUGGAUGGUACAAAGGGCUGCAAGACCGCGAGGUCAAGCCAAUCCCAUAAAACCAUUCUCAGUUCGGAUUGUAGGCUGCAACUCGCCUACAUGAAGCUGGAAUCGCUAGUAAUCGCGGAUCAGCAUGCCGCGGUGAAUACGUUCCCGAGCCUUGUACACACCGCCCGUCACACCACGAGAGUUUGUAACACCCGAAGUCGGUGGGGUAACCUUUAUGGAGCCAGCCGCCUAAGGUGGGACAGAUGAUUGGGGUGAAGUCGUAACAAGGUAGCCGUAUCGGAAGGUGCGGCUGGAUCACCUCCUUU